AUGGCGCCGCCCCCCACCUCCGCUGCAGGCCCGCAGCAGCGGCGGCUCCUCAAGGCGGCGGCCGACGGCGACCUCGGCCGCUUCAAGAGCAUCGCGAGCGCGCUGGACGGCGGGAAGGGCCGCGUCAGGGAGGCGAUGGAGGCCGCCAGGGACGCCGGGUCCGGGGCGCUGCACGCCGCCGCCCGCCACGGUAGGAUGCCGCUGUGCGUCUACCUCGUCGAGCAGCUUGGCGUGAACGUCGAUGCAGGAGACGACAAAGGUGAUACACCUCUUAAGUAUGCACUUGGUUGGGGAAAUUUGGAUAUUGUGAGGUAUCUCCUUGAUCAUGAUGCUGAUCCAGAAAAGCGUGGUGAACAUGGAAUGACCGCUAUCCAUGUGGCAGCUGGAGCAGACCGAUGGGACAUGGAGGCUCGUCCUAGACAGCAGGAGGUAUAG
Molecule: ribosomal RNA, 435 nt
Filed under: Triticum aestivum (bread wheat)
Lineage: Eukaryota; Viridiplantae; Streptophyta; Magnoliopsida; Poales; Poaceae
Description: partial small subunit ribosomal RNA
Source: RNAcentral